GGAAUCUUCCACAAUGGACGAAAGUCUGAUGGAGCAACGCCGCGUGAGUGAUGAAGGUUUUCGGAUCGUAAAACUCUGUUGUAAGGGAAGAACAAGUACGAGAGGUAAUGCUCGUACCUUGACGGUACCUUGCGAGAAAGCCACGGCUAACUACGUGCCAGCAGCCGCGGUAAUACGUAGGUGGCAAGCGUUGUCCGGAAUUAUUGGGCGUAAAGCGCGCGCAGGCGGCCUUUUAAGUCUGAUGUGAAAGCCCCCGGCUCAACCGGGGAGGGUCAUUGGAAACUGGAAGGCUUGAGUACAGAAGAGAAGAGUGGAAUUCCAUGUGUAGCGGUGAAAUGCGUAGAGAUGUGGAGGAACACCAGUGGCGAAGGCGACUCUUUGGUCUGUAACUGACGCUGAGGCGCGAAAGCGUGGGGAGCAAACAGGAUUAGAUACCCCAG
Molecule: ribosomal RNA, 440 nt
Filed under: uncultured Exiguobacterium sp.
Lineage: Bacteria; Bacillati; Bacillota; Bacilli; Caryophanales
Description: bacterial SSU rRNA
Rfam family: Bacterial small subunit ribosomal RNA
Source: RNAcentral